Molecule: non-coding RNA, 638 nt
Organism: Phascolarctos cinereus (koala)
Lineage: Eukaryota; Metazoa; Chordata; Mammalia; Diprotodontia; Phascolarctidae
Source: RefSeq, a predicted model, not a curated record
AGAAUUCACGAAUCUCAAACAGAAUCUCAAAGUCAGAGACUACCUAGUCUAACAUCUACCUGAACAGGAAUUUCUUAACAAUUUAAGAAUUCCUCAGCUGGGCCUCAUUCAGCCUCCAUCUGAAGACCUUACAUGGGAGGAUGAUCCUUCUGAGACAGUCUACUCCAAUUCUGGAUGGAUCAAUGCAAGGGCCAAACUUGAUGCCAAUGCAUACAGUGGUGGCCUUGGAGUCAGGAGAACCCAAGUCUGAAACUCACCUCAGAUGUGCUAGCUGUGUAACCUUGGGUGGUUUCCUCUAUCCAAUUUGUUUUAUGAGGAUGGUCCCAGUUCUGAGAAGAUAAGAAGGCCAUCUGGAUGCAGCAGUACAAAACCAAUCAAGGAUUCCAAGGCCCUCUUGUACCCUUGUUCUGAGCACCAGAAUGCGAAAAUGAAAGUUUUCCAUAGUCCAUCUUGACAAAAACACUUAUGGAGCAAGGAAAACGCUGGUGACUACAUUGCUCAGUAAGAAUAACAGGAAGAGUUCUUCCAGAUCUUAAAAGUGCCUGAAAAUCUUCAAGCAGAACUAGAGCAGGCCACCAAUUUAGUUGUCACUGGAAGGAGGCAAUUCAACAAAUAUUCACUGAGUGUCUAACACGUGC